This is a small nuclear RNA of Erinaceus europaeus (western European hedgehog), 107 nucleotides long. Lineage: Eukaryota; Metazoa; Chordata; Mammalia; Eulipotyphla; Erinaceidae. The record is from Ensembl.
GUGCUUGAUUUGGCAGCACACGUACUAAAUUUGGAACAAUACAGAGAAGAUUAGCAUGGCCCUUGCACAAGGAUGACACACGAAAUCAUUAAGCAUUGCAUACAUUU